CAUUCUGGACAUAGGGCUGCCCAGCCUAAGUUUGAAAACUUCUAGAGAGGGACUGCCCACCACUGCUCUGUUCUCAAUUCAAAGCUUCUUUGGAAAGUUUCCUCUUCUGUUCAUUAGCAGAUUCGGGGUGCACACAGUCCUUGAGGAUAGUAGGAAAAUUUACAGCAUCAGCUCCUUUCCCUGGACUUCUCAGGAUUGUCAUUAUUAAGGACUGCAGUCAUACAGCAGUCCAGGAUGAGCAGUCAUCUGCGGGGAAUAAUCAAGAUGUGUUGCCUAUGGUGGCGAGCUCUAAUUACCACACUGUGAGAUGGAACGUCAAUCUCCUUCUGCUUACUAAAGAAAAGAUGACUUCUGGAACUCUAAGAUCUCACUUGCUGUGCUCAUGAUUUGUAAGUUCCACUUCUAUGUAAGAUAUUAAACCA
Long non-coding RNA from Hemicordylus capensis (graceful crag lizard), 422 nucleotides. RefSeq lists it as uncharacterized. The transcript is spliced from 4 exons. NCBI's taxonomy places the organism in Eukaryota, Metazoa, Chordata, Lepidosauria, Squamata, Cordylidae. The record is from RefSeq and is a predicted model, not a curated record.